RNAcentral lists this ribosomal RNA (434 nucleotides) under uncultured bacterium. RNAcentral's name for it is "partial 16S ribosomal RNA". It matches the Rfam family "Bacterial small subunit ribosomal RNA", at positions 29 to 507 of the family's 1533-position model. The record is from RNAcentral.
AGCGAACGCUGGCGGCAGGCCUAACACAUGCAAGUCGAACGAACCUUUCGGGGUUAGUGGCGGACGGGUGAGUAACACGUGGGAACGUGCCUUUAGGUUCGGAAUAACUCAGGGAAACUUGUGCUAAUACCGAAUGUGCCCUUCGGGGGAAAGAUUUAUCGCCUUUAGAGCGGCCCGCGUCUGAUUAGCUAGUUGGUUGAGGUAAUGGCUCACCAAGGCGACGAUCAGUAGCUGGUCUGAGAGGAUGAUCAGCCACAUUGGGACUGAGACACGGCCCAAACUCCUACGGGAGGCAGCAGUGGGGAAUCUUGCGCUAUGGGCGAAAGCCUGACGCAGCCAUGCCGCGUGAAUGAUGAAGGUCUUAGGAUUGUAAAAUUCUUUCACCGGGGACGAUAAUGACGGUACCCGGAGAAGAAGCCCCGGCUAACUUCGUG